UUGAACGCUGGCGGCAGGCCUAACACAUGCAAGUCGCACGGUAGCACAGAGAGCUUGCUCUCGGGUGACGAGUGGCGGACGGAUGAGUAAUGUCUGGGAAACUGCCCGAUGGAGGGGGAUAACUACUGGAAACGGUAGCUAAUACCGCAUAAUGUCGCAAGACCAAAGAGGGGGACCUUCGGGCCUCUUGCCAUCGGAUGUGCCCAGAUGGGAUUAGCUUGUUGGUGAGGUAAUGGCUCACCAAGGCGACGAUCCCUAGCUGGUCUGAGAGGAUGACCAGCCACACUGGAACUGAGACACGGUCCAGACUCCUACGGGAGGCAGCAGUGGGGAAUAUUGCACAAUGGGCGCAAGCCUGAUGCAGCCAUGCCGCGUGUGUGAAGAAGGCCUUCGGGUUGUAAAGCACUUUCAGCGGGGAGGAAGGCGAUACGGUUAAUAACCGUGUUGAUUGACGUUACCCGCAGAAGAAGCACCGGCUAACUCCGUG
RNAcentral lists this ribosomal RNA (487 nucleotides) under uncultured bacterium. RNAcentral describes it as "partial 16S ribosomal RNA". It matches the Rfam family "Bacterial small subunit ribosomal RNA", at positions 30 to 507 of the family's 1533-position model. The record is from RNAcentral.